CCUACGGGAGGCAGCAGUGAGGAAUAUUGGUCAAUGGGCGCAAGCCUGAACCAGCCAAGUAGCGUGAAGGAUGACUGCCCUACGGGUUGUAAACUUCUUUUAUAAAGGAAUAAAGUGAGGCACGUGUGCCUUUUUGUAUGUACUUUAUGAAUAAGGAUCGGCUAACUCCGUGCCAGCAGCCGCGGUAAUACGGAGGAUCCGAGCGUUAUCCGGAUUUAUUGGGUUUAAAGGGAGCGUAGGGGGGUUGUUAAGUCAGUUGUGAAAGUUUGCGGCUCAACCGUAAAAUUGCAAUUGAUACUGGCAGUCUUGAGUACAUGUGAGGUAGGCGGAAUGCGUGGUGUAGCGGUGAAAUGCUGAGAUAUCACGAAGAACCCCGAGUGCGAAGGCAGCCUACCAAGCCGCGACUGACACUGAUGCUCGAAAGCGUGGGUAUCAAACAGGAUUAGAUACCCGAGUAGUC
RNAcentral lists this ribosomal RNA (460 nucleotides) under uncultured bacterium. Its description in RNAcentral is "partial 16S ribosomal RNA". It matches the Rfam family "Bacterial small subunit ribosomal RNA", at positions 338 to 795 of the family's 1533-position model. The record is from RNAcentral.